GAUGAACGCUGGCGGCGUGCUUAACACAUGCAAGUCGAACGGGAAUUAUUUUAUUGAAACUUCGGUCGAUUUAAUUUAAUUCUAGUGGCGGACGGGUGAGUAACGCGUGGGUAACCUGCCUUAUACAGGGGGAUAACAGUCAGAAAUGGCUGCUAAUACCGCAUAAGCGCACAGAGCUGCAUGGCUCAGUGUGAAAAACUCCGGUGGUAUAAGAUGGACCCGCGUUGGAUUAGCUGGUUGGUGGGGUAACGGCCCACCAAGGCGACGAUCCAUAGCCGGCCUGAGAGGGUGAACGGCCACAUUGGGACUGAGACACGGCCCAGACUCCUACGGGAGGCAGCAGUGGGGAAUAUUGCACAAUGGGGGAAACCCUGAUGCAGCGACGCCGCGUGAAGGAAGAAGUAUCUCGGUAUGUAAACUUCUAUCAGCAGGGGAGAUAGUGACGGUACCUGACGAAGAAGCCCCGGCUAACUACGUG
RNAcentral lists this ribosomal RNA (478 nucleotides) under uncultured bacterium. RNAcentral's name for it is "partial 16S ribosomal RNA". It matches the Rfam family "Bacterial small subunit ribosomal RNA", at positions 28 to 507 of the family's 1533-position model. The record is from RNAcentral.